GCCUGGGUGGCUCAGUCGGUUCAGCGUCUGACUUCAGCUCAGGUCAUGAUCUCGCGGUCCGUGAGUUCGAGCCCCACGUCAGGCU
Molecule: transfer RNA, 85 nt
Filed under: Felis catus (domestic cat)
Lineage: Eukaryota; Metazoa; Chordata; Mammalia; Carnivora; Felidae
Rfam family: tRNA
About the family: Transfer RNA (tRNA) molecules are approximately 80 nucleotides in length. Their secondary structure includes four short double-helical elements and three loops (D, anti-codon, and T loops).
Source: Rfam by way of RNAcentral